Molecule: small RNA, 174 nt
Filed under: Arabidopsis thaliana (thale cress)
Lineage: Eukaryota; Viridiplantae; Streptophyta; Magnoliopsida; Brassicales; Brassicaceae
Description: ATSL027230
Source: RNAcentral
UUAUAAGUAUCAGAUCAAGUCAAUUUAUUGUCAGUUACGACAAAUUCUUAGAUGCUGUGAACAAUAAGUUCAAUGUUGGUUCAAGAUUUACAAUGCGGUUUGAGGGUGAUGAUUUCUCUGAAAGAAGGUAACAUUAGAUGAAAACUUUUUUCUACUUAAAUAUAUUUGUAAUGU